RNAcentral lists this ribosomal RNA (491 nucleotides) under uncultured bacterium. RNAcentral describes it as "partial 16S ribosomal RNA". It matches the Rfam family "Bacterial small subunit ribosomal RNA", at positions 29 to 506 of the family's 1533-position model. The record is from RNAcentral.
AGUGAACGCUGGCGGUAGGCCUAACACAUGCAAGUCGAACGGCAGCACAGUAAGAGCUUGCUCUUACGGGUGGCGAGUGGCGGACGGGUGAUGAAUACAUCGUAAUCUACUUUUUCGUGGGGGAUAACGUAGGUAAACUUACGCUAAUACCGCAUACGACCUACGGGUGAAAGCAUUGGAUCUUCGGACCUUGCGCGAUUUAAUGAGCCGAUGUCGGAUUAGCUAGUUGGCGGGGUAAAGGCCCACCAAGGCGACGAUCCGUAGCUUGUCUGAGAGGAUGUUAAGCAAAAGUGGAACUGAGAAAGGGUCAAGAGACCAAAGGGAGGAAGAAGUGGGGAAUAUUGGACAAAGGGCGAAAGCCGGAUCCAGACAUACCGCGUGGGUGAAGAAGGCCUUCGGGUUGUAAAGCCCUUUUGUUGGGAAAGAAAAGCAGAAGGUUAAUACCCCGCUGUUCUGACGGUACAAAAAGAAUAAGCACCGGCUAACUUCGU